RNAcentral lists this ribosomal RNA (1941 nucleotides) under Neogovea sp. MCZDNA100869. RNAcentral's name for it is "eukaryotic LSU rRNA". It matches the Rfam family "Eukaryotic large subunit ribosomal RNA", at positions 103 to 1883 of the family's 3401-position model. The record is from RNAcentral. Lineage: Eukaryota; Metazoa; Arthropoda; Arachnida; Opiliones; Neogoveidae.
AAGAGUCUAGCGCCGAAUUCCGCGUCCUCGACGGAUGCCAGGGAUCUGUGGCGUUCGGGAGGAGGUCUUCCGACGUUCGGUGACGGUGCAAGUCCCCCUGACUGGGGCUCCAUCCCCGAGCGGGUGCAAGGCCCAUAGCUGCCGUGCACCGACGUCGGAUGUCCCCUCUCUCGAGUCGGGUUGCUUGGGAAUGCAGCCCAAAUUGGGUGGUAAACUCCACCUAAGGCUAAAUACUGCCGCGAGACCGAUAGCGAACAAGUACCGUGAGGGAAAGUUGAAAAGCACUUUGAAGAGAGAGUUAAACAGUACGUGAAACCGUUGAGAGGCAAACGGGUGGGCCCUCGAAUUCCGAGGGCGGGAGGAUUCAGUCGAACGGCAAUACGAGGGCGGUUUGCGGUCGGACUCCCCACUUUUAAGGAGCCGUUCGCCAACCGCUGGACGCGUGUCGAUCGGCGCAAUUUCUUCCGCCAUUCACUGACGCUGCGACCGGUCGAAUCGACGGCCAUGAAUGCGGACAAUGGAAGGUUUCCGGUCGGCGGAGAUUCUCUCUCCGUGGAGCGGUGUUACAGCCCGUCCGACAUUGGCUCGUUCGUGGGACCGAGGACACCCAGACCCUCUGUGGUCGCGACGCAUCCUUCUCCAGAAGCGGGUCGCCCGACAGUUUCUGCUCUCGGCUGGCGUUUUCACCCGUGUGUGUGCGUCUUCUGAGAGUGCUGCGUUGGCUCGGUGCGAUUUCCCGCCCGGAUGCAGGACGUCAGCAGCGAGUAGGUCGGUCACCCACCCGACUCGUCUUGAAACACGGACCAAGGAGUCUAACAUGUGCGCGAGUCAUCGGGUCUUGUUCAUGCCCUUAGGCGAAAUGAAAGUGAAGAACGAUUCUAGUCGUCCGCGUUGGGACCCCGUCUGCCACGGUGGACGUGGAGCACCAACGACCCGUCCCGAUCGCAACGUCGAUGGGGCGGAGCGAGAGCGUACACGUUGGGACCCGAAAGAUGGUGAACUAUGCCUGGGCAGGACGAAGCCAGAGGAAACUCUGGUGGAGGUCCGCAGCGAUUCUGACGUGCAAAUCGAUCGUCAGACCUGGGUAUAGGGGCGAAAGACUAAUCGAACCAUCUAGUAGCUGGUUCCCUCCGAAGUUUCCCUCAGGAUAGCUGGCGCUCUUUGGAGGCAUUCUCAUCCGGUAAAGCGAAUGAUUAGAGGCCUUGGGGCCGAAACGACCUCAACCUAUUCUCAAACUUUAAAUGGGUGAGAAGUCCGGCUUGCUCGACUGAAGCCCGGACGCGAGGAUGCGAGAACAACUCACCUGCCGAAGCAACUAGCCCUGAAAAUGGAUGGCGCUUCAGCGUCGAGCCCAUACCCGGCCGUGGCGGCUGCAAGGAGUUGUAUUAGGUCGCGACGAGUAGGAGGGCGCGGGGGUGUGCGUCGAAGGUACCGGGAGCAAUCCCGUCUGGAGCCGCCCCUGGUGCAGAUCUUGGUGGUAGUAGCAAAUACUCAAGUGAGAACCUUGAGGACUGAGGUGGAGAAGGGUUCCAUGUGAACAGCAGUUGAACAUGGGUCAGUCGCUCCUAAGGGAUAGGAGAAAUCCGUUCCGAAGCGGGACCUUUCACCGAGUUGUUGGUCCUGCCGUAGACCGAAAGGGAAUCGGGUUAAUAUUCCCGAACCCGGACACGGAGAUCGACCCCUUACGGGGGUUCAGUGCGGUAACGCAAACGACCUCGGAGACGUCGGCGGGAGUCCCGGAACGAGUUGUCUUUUCUUUGUAAGGGCUCGGCUCCCUGGAAUCGGCUCGCCCGGAGAUAGGGAUGCUGUACCCGUAAAGCACCGCGCCUCUUGCGGUGUCCGGAGCACCCCCGCCGGCCCUUGAAAAUCCGAGCGCGAGUUGGUGAUUUUCGUGCCGGACCGUACCCAUAUCCGCAGCAGGUCUCCAAGGUGAACAGCCUC